UAUCUUAGUGGCGGACGGGUGAGUAACGCGUGGGUAACCUGCCUUAUACAGGGGGAUAACACUUAGAAAUAGGUGCUAAUACCGCAUAAGCGCACGGGGCUGCAUGGCCCAGUGUGAAAAACUCCGGUGGUAUAAGAUGGACCCGCGUCUGAUUAGCUUGUUGGCGGGGUAACGGCCCACCAAGGCGACGAUCAGUAGCCGGCCCGAGAGGGUGGACGGCCACAUUGGGACUGAGACACGGCCCAAACUCCUACGGAAGGCAGCAG
This 266-nucleotide ribosomal RNA is filed under the name uncultured bacterium. Its description in RNAcentral is "partial 16S ribosomal RNA". It matches the Rfam family "Bacterial small subunit ribosomal RNA", at positions 88 to 354 of the family's 1533-position model. The record is from RNAcentral.